CUUUCUUUGGACUGGAAACCUGUCUUUGCAUAGGAGAUUUAGUCCUUUUUAUUCAGAGGAUUAGAAUUCUGAUGUGAAACUAACAGUCUGUGAGCCCUGGAACCUCCACUCAGAGAAGAUGAAGGAUAUCGACAUAGGAAAAGAGUAUAUCAUCCCCAGUCCUGGGUAUAGAAGUGUGAGGGAGAGAACCAGCACUUCUGGGACGCACAGAGACCGUGAAGAUUCCAAGUUCAGGAGAACUCGACCGGUCAGUUUCCUUUCCUAAGAGUCUCUUACCUGCUUGUUGUACUAAAACACAUCUUUUUUCGUAUAAUGGGUAAUUUAGAAACUUAUUUUUUGGCCGGGCGCGGUGGCUCACGCCUAUAAACCCAGCACUUUGGGAGGCUGAGGCGGGUGGAUCAUCUGAGGUCAGGAGUUCGAGACCAGCCUGACCAACAUGGUGAAAACCUGUCUCUACUAAAAGUACAAAAAUUAGCCAGGCGUGGUGGCGGGCGCCUAUAAUCCCAGAUACUUGCGAGGCUGAGGCACGAGAAUCGCUUGAACCCAAGAGGCGGAGGUUGCAGUGAGCUGGGAUCAUGCCACUGCACUCCAGCCUGGGCGAUAGAGCGAGACUCAGUCUCAAAAAAAAAUGUGUUUUUCUUUAUUGGCUUUAGGUUACUGUUAAGAAUUUAUGGUUAUUGAUAAGUCUCUGGUCCAUAGUAAGCACUCAAUAAGUGGAAGAGAGGCUGGCUGUCACCCUCUCACCCGGUCUGUUCUGAGCAUUCUCCUCUUUUUCACUUUUAUUCUAUGUUGGUGCCUUCUGAAAAGGCUAUACUUAACAGAAGACAACUUAUUGAGGGGGAGGGGGUCAUGGGGUCAAUGACAGGGAAUAUAAAGCCAAUUAAGCUUCAUUCAUGUACCUAAACAAAAUUGGUGUUUUCUUCUACUUUCUGUCAUGUGUGUUUAAAAUGUGAACCUGGCCAGGCACAGUGGCUCAUGCUUGUAAUCCCAGCACUUUGGGAGGUUGAGGUGGGUGGGUCACUUGAGGUCAGGAGUUUGAGACCAGCCUGGCCAACACGGUGAAACCCUGUCUCUGCUAAAAAUACAAAAAUUAGUGAGGUGUGGUGGUGGGCACCUGUACUCCCAGCUACUCAGGAGGGAGGCAGGAGAAUUGCUUGAAUCCAGGAGGCAGAGGUUGCAGUGAGCCAAGAUCACGCCACUGCACUCCAGCCUGGGCAACAGAGUGAGACUCCGUCUCC
This 1238-nucleotide long non-coding RNA is filed under the name Homo sapiens (human). Its description in RNAcentral is "HSALNT0065459". The record is from RNAcentral. Lineage: Eukaryota; Metazoa; Chordata; Mammalia; Primates; Hominidae.